AACGCACCUUGCGCUCUUUGGUAUUCCGAAGAGCAUGCCUGUUUGAGUGUCAUGAAAAUAUCAACCUUGACUUGGGUUUAGUGCUCUUGUCUUGGCUUGGAUUUGGCUGUUUGCCGCUCGAAAGAGUCGGCUCAGCUUAAAAGUAUUAGCUGGAUCUGUCUUUGAGACUUGGUUUGACUUGGCGUAAUAAGUUAUUUCGCUGAGGACAAUCUUCGGAUUGGCCGAGUUUCUGGGACGUUUGUCCGCUUUCUAAUACAAGUUCUAGCUUGCUAGACAUGACUUUUUUUAUUAUCUGGCCUCAAAUCAGGUAGGACUACCCGCUGAACUUAA
RNAcentral lists this unclassified non-coding RNA (330 nucleotides) under uncultured Cryptococcus. RNAcentral's name for it is "sequence contains ITS2". The stretch from base 1 to 52 matches the Rfam family "5.8S ribosomal RNA", at positions 103 to 154 of the family's 154-position model. Lineage: Eukaryota; Fungi; Basidiomycota; Tremellomycetes. The record is from RNAcentral.